UAUAUUAAAACAGUAAAAGAUUUUAAAGUAAUGAGUGUUUCAAACAGAAUAAAUAGAAAACAAACAAAAAAAAAAAAAGAAAUAUGUAAGAAGAUAAAACACAUUGUUUCUAUUCUUACAAAUUUUCAAUAAAAUGCAUUAAUUAUUUGUUAUACAAUGAUUUCGUAAAAUAUUUGUUCCGCUUCAUUGAUCGAUGGGUUAACUUCCUAAUACGUAGAGCCGAACAAAAAACUCGAAGGCCAUACCGAUUUAUCGGACCUACGGAUCUUUUAAUCCGUGCAUACAGGAUGCGUUUAGUUCUGUCACUCUUAAACAAGGACAUUUGCCUCUAUAUAAUUGAUUAAACCGACUGGAACAAACAAACAGUCUACUGACGCUUGCUUUUUAACAUGUCUUUCAUUUCUUAUAUCGCGCUCUUUUUCUUUAUUCAACGCAGCCUUUGUGCAUCUGACUUGAUUGUCCCGCAGAAUAACGAACAAUCAAGAUCUUCUUUGUCAGACUCUGUGCAAAAAAAGAUCGAUGAAGAGCAUGCAAUUUUCGACGAAGAGAAGACAAGUAAGGAAAGUAGUUCCAUUUAUAAUAGGGGGCAACUAGGAUUUAAUGAACGUAAGCGAGAUGAAAAGAGAUACGGCAACCAAGAUACAGCACGCAAAGGGCAUGACAAAGGAAGGCAUAGUUUAGGAGAAUCCGAAGUCGUCGAUCACGAGAAGAAUUCUUUUGAACGGCAUGGUAGUGGAUAUUACAAAAAAGGGCAUCACAGGACCGGUUUCAGCAACAACUACCAUAAAGACGAGUCAGGAAAUAAUUCAAGCUUUUACGAGGACAGCGAUGACGAAGGGGGGCAUAGGUCGUCCGGGAAUACCGGUGGAUAUUAUGGGCAAAAAUCGCAGAACUCGUUUAGGGACGGUUCGCGCGAUGUAUCUUACCUUGAAAAAGAUAAGGCACAACAGGGAAUAUAUGACAAUAGAAAAAUUAUUAACAAUUAUCAUGGUCAUAUCAGAGGAUAUAACAACGAUCGAUAUAUAGAUGAUAGAAGAAAUUAUCUGAGGAACGAAGCACGACAUUAUUUUGAUAAAAAUAAGGGAGAUAUAUACAAUCAUAAAGAAAGGUAUUAUCCAAUUACUUAUCGUAAUAACGAUCGUGUGCCCUCGUUCGGAUAUUCGCAUCAUUACGUGGAUACAUUACCUGGAGGAUAUUACAGAGAAGAUCCGUACAUUAUACCUUAUUCAAAAGAUUAUAGAUAUUUUCCACAUCGACAAAGAGAUUACGAACAAGAAAUAUAUUAUCCUUAUACAAGUGUUUACACUAAAAAUAAUCGAGACGAUUUUGAUGAUAACGGAUACUCAAAGAAAUAUGGGAAUGAUUUUAAUAAUGCAUAUCACGGAAUUUAGAACUUGAUUUUACAACGUAAAGUAUAGAUGUAGAGAGCGAUGACUAAAAUGCAAAGUACACCAGAAGGUCCACCACCAUCAUGAAUAAAGGAUACGACAAAGCUUCUGCAACUUUAUUAAAUUCAUUAUAAAGACGGUACUUUAACUUUGAUAAUUUUAUAGCCAUUUUAAUUUUUGUAUGAAAAUGUCUUUUCUGCGACGUCGUCUGCUACUUACGUGUGAUGUUUGGUUGCAUAUUUACGGUGUUAUCGUAGAGAGUAAAAUGCAGCAUAGUUAAAUAUACAUUAAAAGCAUU
Bombus terrestris (buff-tailed bumblebee) is the source of this 1686-nucleotide RNA transcript. It is a transcript of the gene named probable ATP-dependent RNA helicase ddx42, with no coding region annotated. The transcript is spliced from 4 exons. NCBI's taxonomy places the organism in Eukaryota, Metazoa, Arthropoda, Insecta, Hymenoptera, Apidae. The record is from RefSeq and is a predicted model, not a curated record.